RNAcentral lists this ribosomal RNA (342 nucleotides) under Triticum aestivum (bread wheat). RNAcentral's name for it is "partial small subunit ribosomal RNA". Lineage: Eukaryota; Viridiplantae; Streptophyta; Magnoliopsida; Poales; Poaceae. The record is from RNAcentral.
AUGGAUUCUGCGCUCAUCUCCACAUGGAAACAGAUCGUGUCUCUCCCAAAUUGCAGCAAGGAAUUUAGGGCAUGCAUCUCCUGCGCUCAUGGAGCUUAUUACAUUUUCUCAAUCCCUCAACCAAGAUGGGCAGGGGGUGGGGGAUAUGGAGAAGGACGGAGCUCCUGUUGUGGUUGGUGUCAUCGCAAAUGGUGGAUGUUGACCAUGCUGUCCCAUGGAGGGAAGGUAAUCUUGAAGAACAACUAUCUCGCAAAGACAUUGACCAUCCACUCAGCGCAACAGCAGGGUAAGCAUGAACACUAUGAUUUGUCGAAAACAACUAAAAGAAUCAUACUAUGUUAG